Molecule: ribosomal RNA, 460 nt
Filed under: uncultured bacterium
Lineage: Bacteria
Description: partial 16S ribosomal RNA
Rfam family: Bacterial small subunit ribosomal RNA
Source: RNAcentral
CCUACGGGAGGCAGCAGUGAGGAAUAUUGGUCAAUGGACGCGAGUCUGAACCAGCCAAGUAGCGUGCAGGAUGACUGCCCUAUGGGUUGUAAACUUCUUUUAUAUGGGAAUAAAAUGUUAUACGUGUGGGAUUUUGUAUGUACCAUAUGAAUAAGGAUCGGCUAACUCCGUGCCAGCAGCCGCGGUAAUACGGAGGAUCCGAGCGUUAUCCGGAUUUAUUGGGUUUAAAGGGGGCGUAGGUGGAUUGUUAAGUUAGUGGUGAAAUUUUGCGGCUCAACCGUAAAAUUGCAGUUGAAACUGGCAGGCUAGAGGACAGUAGAGGUGGGCGGAAUGCGUGGUGUAGCGGUGAAAUGCAUAGAGAUCACGAAGAACACCGAUUGCGAAGGCAGCUCACUGGACUGCAACUGACACUGAGGCUCGAAAGUGUGGGUAUCAAACAGGAUUAGAUACCCGAGUAGUC